Molecule: unclassified non-coding RNA, 331 nt
Filed under: soil metagenome
Description: partial contains 5.8S ribosomal RNA, internal transcribed spacer 2, and large subunit ribosomal RNA
Rfam family: 5.8S ribosomal RNA (bases 1-120)
Source: RNAcentral
GAUGAAGAACGUAGCGAAAUGCGAUAAGUAAUGUGAAUUGCAGAAUUCAGUGAAUCAUCGAAUCUUUGAACGCACAUUGCGCCCCCUGGUAUUCCGGGGGGCAUGCCUGUUCGAGCGUCAUUUCACAACUCAAGCCUCGCUUGGUAUUGGGCAACGCGGUCCGCCGCGUGCCUCAAAUCGACCGGCUGGGUCUUCUGUCCCCUAAGCGUUGUGGAAACUAUUCGCUAAAGGGUGUUCGGGAGGCUACGCCGUAAAACAACCCCAUUUCUAAGGUUGACCUCGGAUCAGGUAGGGAUACCCGCUGAACUUAAGCAUAUCAAUAAGCGGAGGA